UACAGAGGUCUCAAGCGUUGUUCGGAUUCAUUGGGCGUAAAGGGUGCGUAGGCGGCGCGGUAAGUCGGGUGUGAAAUCUUGGAGCUUAACUCCGAAACUGCAUUCGAUACUGCCGUGCUUGAGGACUGGAGAGGAGACUGGAAUUUACGGUGUAGCGGUGAAAUGCGUAGAUAUCGGGAAGAACACCUGAGGCGAAGGCGGGUUGCUGGGCCGACACUGACGCUGAUGCGCGAAAGCCAGGGGAGCGAACGGG
This 253-nucleotide ribosomal RNA is filed under the name uncultured bacterium. RNAcentral describes it as "partial 16S ribosomal RNA". It matches the Rfam family "Bacterial small subunit ribosomal RNA", at positions 524 to 776 of the family's 1533-position model. The record is from RNAcentral.